This 331-nucleotide transfer-messenger RNA is filed under the name Rhodocyclaceae bacterium. It matches the Rfam family "Betaproteobacteria transfer-messenger RNA". From Rfam's summary of the family: Bacterial tmRNA, also known as 10Sa RNA or SsrA, is named for its dual tRNA and mRNA-like properties. Its role is to liberate the mRNA from a stalled ribosome. To accomplish this part of the tmRNA is used as a reading frame that ends in a translation stop signal. Lineage: Bacteria; Pseudomonadati; Pseudomonadota; Betaproteobacteria; Rhodocyclales; Rhodocyclaceae. The record is from RNAcentral.
UCAAGCAGCUUGUUUUUCCGAUGGCCUGCCCCGAUAAUACGGUCAUAGUUGUAAUUCCGGCGAACUGGAGACGUUUUGGACAGGGGUUCGAUUCCCCUCACCUCCACCUAAGGAUGUUAGCGGCAUAGCAGUCUUAGGUGGGGGUGCACUGGCUUCGACAGGGCGAACAAAGGUGAGCAGGCAACUCGUCAGGCGAUCGACGUUAAUGAAGCAAAUCUCUAAACGCCAACGAUGAGCGUUUCGCACUGGCCGCUUAAGGCCUAUGCCGAGGCUGCUUGAGCCUUGUAACCAAAGAAAAGCCGACGGGGACUCUCACGAGUCCCCGCCGUCA